AAGGCAAAAUGAAAACGUUUAAUACACAAAAAAAAGCACAAAAGAAUCAACAGGUAUUAAAAGCAUUACAUAGUGCAAAUACCAAAAAGAUACAGAGCUGUUAACUUAGUGGCGUUCAUAAAGACUAAGCAAGAACACAUGAAAAUGUCUCCUUUCCUUAUUUAGUGAGCUGGCCACUAUUCAAAAAGUUAUUUAAAUUGCCUUUUUCUUCCCACUUUAUGAAGCCAUAUUUGCUACUCCUGAUCAGAGAUGUGCUACAGAGUCUCUGUAUACUGACAGCGCAUUUUAUGCCACCUAUUCAAGUGCAUGUAGAAGAAUUUUUGUGUGUGGAGACCAUAGCAAGACAGUUAUGCCUGCUAUCCAAAUUUACACACUCUUAUCUCAGAACCUAGAGACAGAAGGCUUCUCUAGUGAAGGCCUCAUAGCAAGGAAAGGAGAUUCGAGCUACGGUGUGGGUGAAAGGAAGCGAGGCAGGCUCUGCCGGGCAGGCGGAGAGGAAGCUUGUGCUCAGCUUCUAGGGUUCGAGGGAUUCUGUAUGCACCCCAGAGCUUGGUCAACCACGGCUAUAACUUCUAACAUCUUCUUCAAGGCAAGCAUAGGUUUUUACCUCACUCCCCCAUGCUUAACUCCCACCGCAAACUAUGAGGUAGAAAGGGUAAAAUGUGCGUGCGCGCAUUUUACAGGUGAGAAAAAUUGAGGCUUAAGAAGGUCAAGACUGGGUUCAAGAUGGUAGAAUAAUCUUACUCCUUCUCUCUCUCCAAGAGGAACUUAGUGCCUAGCUAUAGACUAAGGAGAGAGUCCUAUUCAGAGGCUGCUUAAGACUUCUACCUUGCCAAGUGCUGAGGAGGCCAGAAACAUUUCAUUCCCCUUUAAAAUAUUUUCUAUUACCUUUAAAAGGAGGAAAGAAAAAAACCAAAAGGAAAACUGUGACUUUUAUUAAAAAGAAAGUGAAAACAUGAGGCAAACUAUAGGAAAAAAGAAGAACCCUCCUGUAGGAAGAGGGAAGGCUGCUCUCAAUGUCUUAGUGCUGGGACAACAGGGAAGCCAAUCCCCCGUUCCUCCAUCAUACACACAAAGGAAGCCCCAACUACAAGUUGUUUGUUAUUAGACAGUAGCUCUGAUGUCACAGCUUCCCUUCCUUAUGCUACAAUCCACCACCUAACUCUGCAACAGAAACAUUCCCCAGGACCGCCUGGAAAAGAGAAAUCUUAUCUGAAGAUACUGUAGUUACCACCAUCCAAGGGGUGACACAGAACGCCUUUGGUAUAAAAGCAAUAUCCAGAAGUAGAUAAAACUUGGAACUCUGAGGCAAAAAGAACAACAGUAAGGGAGGGAGGAAGGGGAAAUGUUUGCCAUU
This 1357-nucleotide long non-coding RNA is filed under the name Equus asinus (donkey). Its description in RNAcentral is "lncRNA (ENSEASG00005033724.1)". Lineage: Eukaryota; Metazoa; Chordata; Mammalia; Perissodactyla; Equidae. The record is from RNAcentral.